GGACGAACGCUGGCGGCGUGCUUAACCCAUGCAAGUCGAACGGAAAGGCCCUGCUUGCAGGGUGCUCGAGUGGCGAACGGGUGAGUAACACGUGGGUGAUCUGCCCCUUACUUUGGGAUAAGCCUGGGAAACUGGGUCUAAUACUGGAUAGGACCAUGCUGUAGGUGGUGUGGUGGAAAGAUUAGUUUCGGUAAGGGAUGAGCUCGCGGCCUAUCAGCUUGUUGGUGGGGUAAUGGCCUACCAAGGCGUCGACGGGUAGCCGGCCUGAGAGGGUGGACGGCAACAUUGGGACUGAGAGACGGCCCAGACUCCUACGGGAGGCAGCAGUGGGGAAUAUUGCACAAUGGGCGCAAGCCUGAUGCAGCGACGCCGCGUGGGGGAUGACGGCCUUCGGGUUGUAAACUCCUUUCAGCCAUGACGAAGCCCUUGUGGUGACGGUAGUGGUAGAAGAAGCACCGGCUAACUACGUG
This 470-nucleotide ribosomal RNA is filed under the name uncultured bacterium. Its description in RNAcentral is "partial 16S ribosomal RNA". It matches the Rfam family "Bacterial small subunit ribosomal RNA", at positions 27 to 507 of the family's 1533-position model. The record is from RNAcentral.